AAGAACUCUACGCGGUGUGAGUUGGCUGUAAGGAGCUCUCUAGCAUUCAUAAAGUCCUUUUGAUGUAUCUGCAUGUAUUCAUCCUUAAACAUUCCGCUGGACAUCUCUUUCCCACAAUUGAAACUGAAGAGACAUCCGGAAAGACACAAUCGGGGAGGACCUGUCAGAACCUGGGUAGGAGUCUCCAUGGCCUGGUUCCUUCCUAAGAAGAUCAGAAAUUGGAUUUUAUCAUCCCAUUCGCUGAGGAUAAGACUUGAGGGAGCCUGUUCCAAGGAUGCUGUUGGAAAGUACCUGCCAGCACCAUGAAGAUGGCUA
Molecule: long non-coding RNA, 315 nt
Filed under: Homo sapiens (human)
Lineage: Eukaryota; Metazoa; Chordata; Mammalia; Primates; Hominidae
Description: HSALNT0388434
Source: RNAcentral